Molecule: long non-coding RNA, 1763 nt
Organism: Rhinolophus ferrumequinum (greater horseshoe bat)
Lineage: Eukaryota; Metazoa; Chordata; Mammalia; Chiroptera; Rhinolophidae
Exons: 3
Source: RefSeq, a predicted model, not a curated record
GCCUUCCCGGAAAUGCCGUAGCUCAGCGAGCAGCCCCCUCCGCCCCGGGAGGUAAUUUCAGUGCUGAAGAGUGGUGACCUAAAGAAAAUGGUGAAGUUGGCAGAAUGGCCUUCUCCUCCCCCGAUAGGGGGGAAAGCAAAAUCUUUGGAGUCCCAGCCCUGUCACUGACACGCUGAGUGGCCUCAGGCAAGUCACUCAACAUCUCUGAGCCUCAGUUUGCUCGACUAUGGAGAAUAAAACCUCAUAGUGUUGAGAAGAUGGACUCUGGAGACGUGUCCUCUGCACUGCUCUGGCGGUUGUGGUCUCAGCAAGUUGUUACCUGCCCGUGGACUGAAGGUUUGUUCCAAGAAGGCUCUAUGUCUAGUUGUACUCCCAAUAUCGCCUGCCAACUGUAUAAGUAAUGUCUGCGUAUAACUGUGUGUCUCCUUUCCAACUGUGCUGAAGCCCUGGUCCUUUUUCCACUAUGAAUUUCCCCAGUGGACGAAAGCCCCAAACAACCACUUCUCUCAGCUGCAGGAUUUCAACGAUUUCCAAAGGGGAAAAGGAGUCCUCAUGCUGCAGCAGGUUGGAAACCACAAGCCAGGCUGUCAAGGCAGCGUGUCAUUCCCCUUUGGCAGUCAGGAGUCAUGAGACCUGAGGUCAGGUUCCAGCCCCUCCCAUGACUGGUGGGAUGAUCUCCGGAGCAGCCCCGUGUGACUUGGAGAGCUUUGGUUUCCUCAUCCUAGAGCAGAGGUCAUGGAAAUUAUUUGGCAGGAUUGUCAAGAAGAUUAAAUGAGAUAAUGAAAGGGCUUUGAAAACUGUAACGUGUUACACAAAUGGAAGGAUUGGUGUUGUCAUCUUCUUGCACAUAUUGUUAGCAUCUUAAGGGCAGAGACAGUGUCGUCUGUUUUCUUCUUCACCUCCCACCCCCACCACCUCCUGUACUCAACACGGGACUAUGAAGAUGACCUUGUUAAAACACCGCACAGAGACUAGCACAGCGCCUGAGCACAUAGAAGAUGCUUUAUAAAUGGUUGCUAAUACGUACGCAUGUGCUAUUGUAUGGCUUCUGGUCCAAGUCUCCUCUGCCACUUGCUAGUGAGUGUGACCCUGGGCUAGGUUAGACUAACGUGCCCUCGUGUCCUCAUCUAUCACACAUGGCUGAUGAGAACAGGAGCUAGUUCAUGCCGUGGUUGGGAGAAGUGAAGGAGUUCCAUCUGCAGCACAGAACUACGCACAAAUCCAGCACUCCGUAGGCAUCUGCUGUUGUUAGUAUUUUACUACUAUCCACGGAGCGAUUCUUCAAGAGGGAGCCUGGGAAGAUCACCAGACUGGAAAGUAGGAAAUCUCGGUCCUGGCCUUUGUUCAGUCAGCAAGGCCUUCACAGACGGUGAGAUGCUCAGGCCGGCCUCUCAGGGUCAGCAUGAAGAAUGCAGCUGUGUCUAUGUGUGGGCGUCGUGUCUCCUGGUGUGGGCUGGAGCCCUAGACCAGACGUUGUUAGAUGAAAGGUGUGCAUACUUAACAUUUGGAUCAAUAUCGCAGCUGUCCGACAAGCUGCCGCUCCUGUUUGCAUUCUCUCCUGUCAGAUCGAGAGGGCCCGUUUCCCCAUACCCUGCCCCGCCCACAUUUUACCUUUACAUUUUAUUAAUUUUUGACAAGGCAAUAUUUGCAAAGGAUACAAAAUUUAAAAAGAUACAAAGGAGCAUACAGUGAGAAGUCUCCUCAUCCCUGACCCAGCCAUGGAAGUCCCUCCCCUCCCACUGCUGCCAGAAACACAAACUUUG